GUGCUUGCUUCAGCAGCACAUAUACUAAAAUUGGAACGACACAGAGAAGAUUAGCAUAGCUCCUGCUCAAGCAUGACACGUACAGGGGGAGGAGGGCCCCCUCAGU
This is a small nuclear RNA of Acomys russatus (golden spiny mouse), 106 nucleotides long. Lineage: Eukaryota; Metazoa; Chordata; Mammalia; Rodentia; Muridae. The record is from RefSeq and is a predicted model, not a curated record.